GACAGAUGGGAGCUUGCUCCCUGAUGUUAGCGGCGGACGGGUGAGUAACACGUGGGUAACCUGCCUGUAAGACUGGGAUAACUCCGGGAAACCGGGGCUAAUACCGGAUGCUUGUUUGAACCGCAUGGUUCAAACAUAAAAGGUGGCUUCGGCUACCACUUACAGAUGGACCCGCGGCGCAUUAGCUAGUUGGUGAGGUAAUGGCUCACCAAGGCAACGAUGCGUAGCCGACCUGAGAGGGUGAUCGGCCACACUGGGACUGAGACACGGCCCAGACUCCUACGGGAGGCAGCAGUAGGGAAUCUUCCGCAAUGGACGAAAGUCUGACGGAGCAACGCCGCGUGAGUGAUGAAGGUUUUCGGAUCGUAAAGCUCUGUUGUUAGGGAAGAACAAGUGCCGUUCAAAUAGGGCGGCACCUUGACGGUACCUAACCAGAAAGCCACGGCUAACUACGUGCCAGCAGCCGCGGUAAUACGUAGGUGGCAAGCGUUGUCCGGAAUUAUUGGGCGUAAAGGGCUCGCAGGCGGUUUCUUAAGUCUGAUGUGAAAGCCCCCGGCUCAACCGGGGAGGGUCAUUGGAAACUGGGGAACUUGAGUGCAGAAGAGGAGAGUGGAAUUCCACGUGUAGCGGUGAAAUGCGUAGAGAUGUGGAGGAACACCAGUGGCGAAGGCGACUCUCUGGUCUGUAACUGACGCUGAGGAGCGAAAGCGUGGGGAGCGAACAGGAUUAGAUACCCUGGUAGUCCACGCCGUAAACGAUGAGUGCUAAGUGUUAGGGGGGUUUCCGCCCCUUAGUGCUGCAGCUAACGCAUUAAGCACUCCGCCUGGGGAGUACGGUCGCAAGACUGAAACUCAAAGGAAUUGACGGGGGCCCGCACAAGCGGUGGAGCAUGUGGUUUAA
Molecule: ribosomal RNA, 900 nt
Filed under: Bacillus sp. LMR322
Lineage: Bacteria; Bacillati; Bacillota; Bacilli; Caryophanales; Bacillaceae
Description: bacterial SSU rRNA
Rfam family: Bacterial small subunit ribosomal RNA
Source: RNAcentral